UACGUAGGGGGCAAGCGUUGUCCGGAUUUAUUGGGCGUAAAGAGCUCGUAGGCGGUUGGGCAAGUCACGUGUGAAAUCUCCACGCUCAACGUGGAGGCGCCACGUGAGACUGCCCUGACUCGAGUCCGGUAGGGGAGCGUGGAAUUCCCGGUGUAGCGGUGAAAUGCGCAGAUAUCAGGAGGAACACCGGUGGCGAAGGCGGGUCUCUGGGCCGAUACUGACGCUGAGGAGCGAAAGCGUGGGGAGCGAACAGG
RNAcentral lists this ribosomal RNA (254 nucleotides) under uncultured bacterium. RNAcentral describes it as "partial 16S ribosomal RNA". It matches the Rfam family "Bacterial small subunit ribosomal RNA", at positions 524 to 776 of the family's 1533-position model. The record is from RNAcentral.